This 1510-nucleotide long non-coding RNA is filed under the name Anas platyrhynchos platyrhynchos (common mallard). Its description in RNAcentral is "lncRNA (ENSAPLG00000024496.1)". Lineage: Eukaryota; Metazoa; Chordata; Aves; Anseriformes; Anatidae. The record is from RNAcentral.
CAUUUUACAAUCUCUACUGCAAUUGUUUCAGAGUGUAUUUUGGAGGAGGUGGAAAUAUGGCAAAAAAAAAAAAAAAAAGGAAUGGGUAUAUUCAGAGCUGGUGCUGACUGCUGUAAUUGUGUUGAGGUCAGCAGGUUAAGGAUGUGGCCCAGUGGCAGCUCCUAAGCCCUACUUAAUCUAAGUCCUACCAGUUCUCCAGAAGGAUGGAGAAAUCAGAGCACAUGGUCUCUUCCAUGAACUCUGGUCUGCAGUUAAAUCCAUGCCAUAGCUCUUAUCAGGAGGACGUUGCAUCCCCAUUUGGCCAAGCACCACCAGGUGUGUAUAAGCCAGGUUGUUUUUCUACAUAAAGUUCUUGACUUCAAAAUAAAAGCAGCUUACAUACUUGCAGCAACAUCAGACAGACAAAAGCAGAAGCACUAUGGGUUACGCAUACAUUUUUCUGCAGAUUUAGGCUGAGGUCUCUCACCAUUCAGCAAUAAUUGUCCUCCCCAAAAUGAAGUGACUGCUCAUGGGAUGCAGCGUGGCUACACUUCCACCCAUGUGUCCUGCAGUAAGAAGGAAAAAAGCAGAAGCGUUGCUUUAGUUUCAGCAACAGUGAAGACUGAAGUGAACCAUGGAGCAACUACCCACAAAGAAUCCAGGUGUCAAAAAAGAGUCGCACAAGUGCACUGAGGCCAUAAGAAGCUGAACAGCAGAAGUCAUUUAAUCCUCAGUGCUGCAUUUUAUCCACAACAUUGGGCCUUCAACAGCCCAUAAACCUUCAGGUACAUUUCCAGAGCUGGUUACUGCUGUUCCACAGCCAGGCAAUUUGCAGAUAACACAGGCGAUUCGCUCGGGAGCAGCCUGCUGGCGUGCUCAGGCCCUGCUCCUUUUUUCCUUUCAGUUCACAGAGCAUCUCCCGUGCUCUGACAAAUGCACAGCUCUUCUCUGCCUGCUCUCAGAGCAGCAGCUUGGAGAAGAUGUCGGACCAGAGACAAGGUCAAGCUUGGAGAGAAAUCAGCCUGCUCCAUCCUUGACCCGUCAUUCAUCACUGCAUUUGUCUACAGCCAAACAACCCAGCUGGUAAACAGGAAAAAAAAAAAAAAAAAAACCUUAUCUGAGCUCUAAAAGGUUCCCAUUUCUGCUAUGGAGAACUUUAUUAAUAACACUCUCCGGAAAGCACCAGGAGUUCUGAUGGACAGCUUUGCAGGGACAUUUUUCAACAGAGAAGCUUUAAAUCCUAUAUCUAUGCACCCAAUAAGCAGGCUGGAGGAGACAAGAGGUUAAUUUUGCAGACAGCAAAUGGUGACUGUGUAAGUUAUUAGGGAGGGGAAUAUGCUUUAGAUGUUAUGGGGAUAUAUGAGCCUUGCCUUCACCUUUCCUCAUGUAUCAUGCUGCAUGCCAUCACAGAUGUGUUAGCACGUCCACACUUUAUGCAGGUCCCCUCAAAUUACUGGGCAAUAAUUAGAAUUGCCAAAUGCUCGCUCUUCGCACUGCUUUCACAGGACGAGGCACAGUUCUUAAAAUGCAC